UCCCAGUUCGGAUUGUAGUCUGCAACCCGACUGCAUGAAGCUGGAAUCGCUAGUAAUCGCGAAUCAGAAUGUCGCGGUGAAUACGUUCCCGGGUCUUGUACACACCGCCCGUCACACCAUGGGAGUCGGAAAUGCCCGAAGUCAGUGACCCAACCGUAAGGAGGGAGCUGCCGAAGGUGGAGCCGGUAACUGGGGUGAAGUCGUAACAAGGUAAC
RNAcentral lists this ribosomal RNA (215 nucleotides) under uncultured bacterium. RNAcentral's name for it is "partial 16S ribosomal RNA". It matches the Rfam family "Bacterial small subunit ribosomal RNA", at positions 1286 to 1500 of the family's 1533-position model. The record is from RNAcentral.